CUUUAAUCUACAUAUAGAUUGGGCUAACCAAAUUGGUAACAGCGCUGAGGAGGAGGAUUUCCUGGAGUGUAUACAGGAUGGUUUUCUUAGUCAAUAUGUAGAGGACCCAACUAGAGGGCGGGCCAUCCUAGACUGGGUAUUGUGUAAUUAGGAAGGAUUAGUCAGCAAUCUUGUUGUGCAAAGCCCCUUGGGCAACAGUGACCAUAAUAUGGUGGAAUUCUGCAUUAAGAUGGAGAGUGAUACGGUUAAUUCAGAAACGAGGGUCCCGAACUUAAAGAAAGAGACUUUGAUGCUAUGAGGC
This is a long non-coding RNA of Amblyraja radiata (thorny skate), 301 nucleotides long. RefSeq lists it as uncharacterized. NCBI's taxonomy places the organism in Eukaryota, Metazoa, Chordata, Chondrichthyes, Rajiformes, Rajidae. The transcript is spliced from 4 exons. The record is from RefSeq and is a predicted model, not a curated record.